RNAcentral lists this ribosomal RNA (2918 nucleotides) under Enterococcus durans. RNAcentral describes it as "bacterial LSU rRNA". It matches the Rfam family "Bacterial large subunit ribosomal RNA". Lineage: Bacteria; Bacillati; Bacillota; Bacilli; Lactobacillales; Enterococcaceae. The record is from RNAcentral.
AUAAGGUUAAGUGAAUAAGGGCGCACGGUGGAUGCCUUGGCACUAGGAGCCGAUGAAGGACGGGACUAACACCGAUAUGCUUUGGGGAGCUGUACGUAAGCUAUGAUCCAGAGAUUUCCGAAUGGGGAAACCCAACAUCUUUUAUAGGAUGUUACGUUUGCGUGAAUACAUAGCGCAUUCGAGGUAGACGCAGAGAACUGAAACAUCUAAGUACCUGCAGGAAGAGAAAGAAAAUUCGAUUCCCUGAGUAGCGGCGAGCGAAACGGGAAAAGCCCAAACCAAUGAGCUUGCUCAUUGGGGUUGUAGGACUCCAAUAUGGUAGUUCUUUCAGAUAAUCGAAUGACUUGGAAAAGUCAGUCAAAGAGGGUAAAAACCCCGUAGAUGAAAUUUGGAAGGCACCUAGGAGGAUCCUGAGUACGGCGGAACACGAGGAAUUCCGUCGGAAUCCGGGAGGACCAUCUCCCAAGGCUAAAUACUCCCUAGUGACCGAUAGUGAACCAGUACCGUGAGGGAAAGGUGAAAAGCACCCCGGAAGGGGAGUGAAAUAGAACCUGAAACCGUGUGCCUACAACAAGUCAAAGCCCGUUAAUGGGUGAUGGCGUGCCUUUUGUAGAAUGAACCGGCGAGUUACGAUUGCAUGCGAGGUUAAGUCGAAGAGACGGAGCCGCAGCGAAAGCGAGUCUGAAUAGGGCGUUUGAGUAUGUAGUCGUAGACCCGAAACCAUGUGAUCUACCCAUGUCCAGGUUGAAGGUGCGGUAAAACGCACUGGAGGACCGAACCCACGUACGUUGAAAAGUGCGGGGAUGAGGUGUGGGUAGCGGAGAAAUUCCAAACGAACUUGGAGAUAGCUGGUUCUCUCCGAAAUAGCUUUAGGGCUAGCCUCGGAUUUGAGAAUGAUGGAGGUAGAGCACUGUUUGGACUAGGGGCCCAUCUCGGGUUACCGAAUUCAGAUAAACUCCGAAUGCCAUUCAUUCAUAUCCGGGAGUCAGACUGUGAGUGAUAAGAUCCAUAGUCGAAAGGGAAACAGCCCAGACCACCAGCUAAGGUCCCAAAAUAUAUGUUAAGUGGAAAAGGAUGUGGGGUUGCACAGACAACUAGGAUGUUGGCUCAGAAGCAGCCACCAUUUAAAGAGUGCGUAAUAGCUCACUAGUCGAGUGACCCUGCGCCGAAAAUGUACCGGGGCUAAACAUAUUACCGAAGCUGUGGAGUACACCAUUAGGUGUAUUGGUAGGAGAGCGUUCUAAGGGCGUUGAAGGCAGAUCGUGAGGACUGCUGGAGCGCUUAGAAGUGAGAAUGCCGGUAUGAGUAGCGAAAGACAGGUGAGAAUCCUGUCCACCGAAUGACUAAGGUUUCCUGGGGAAGGCUCGUCCGCCCAGGGUUAGUCGGGACCUAAGCCGAGGCCGACAGGCGUAGGCGAUGGACAACAGGUUGAUAUUCCUGUACUCGUUGUUUUUGUUUGAGCAAUGGAGGGACGCAGGAGGCUAAGGAAUGCAGACGAUUGGAAAUGUCUGUCCAAGCAGUAAGUCUUGAUAGGAGUCAAAUGCUUCUGUCUACACGGAUAAGCUGUGAUGGGGAGGGAAAUAAUAGUACCGAAGUUCCUGAUGUCACACUGCCAAGAAAAGCUUCUAGUGAGAAAACAAUGACCCGUACCGCAAACCGACACAGGUAGUCGAGGAGAGAAUCCUAAGGUGAGCGAGAGAACUCUCGUUAAGGAACUCGGCAAAAUGACCCCGUAACUUCGGGAGAAGGGGUGCUGAUCUUUGAUCAGCCGCAGUGAAUAGGCCCAAGCGACUGUUUAUCAAAACACAGGUCUCUGCAAAAUCGUAAGAUGAAGUAUAGGGGCUGACGCCUGCCCGGUGCUGGAAGGUUAAGAGGAGUGCUUAGCGUAAGCGAAGGUACGAAUUGAAGCCCCAGUAAACGGCGGCCGUAACUAUAACGGUCCUAAGGUAGCGAAAUUCCUUGUCGGGUAAGUUCCGACCCGCACGAAAGGCGUAACGAUUUGGGCACUGUCUCAACGAGAGACUCGGUGAAAUUUUAGUACCUGUGAAGAUGCAGGUUACCCGCGACAGGACGGAAAGACCCCAUGGAGCUUUACUGUAGUUUGAUAUUGAGUGUCUGUACCGCAUGUACAGGAUAGGUAGGAGCCGUAGAAAUCGGAACGCUAGUUUCGAUGGAGGCGCUGGUGGGAUACUACCCCUGCGUUAUGGCCACUCUAACCCGCACCACUGAUCGUGGUGGGAGACAGUGUCAGAUGGGCAGUUUGACUGGGGCGGUCGCCUCCUAAAAGGUAACGGAGGCGCCCAAAGGUUCCCUCAGAAUGGUUGGAAAUCAUUCGAAGAGUGUAAAGGCAGAAGGGAGCUUGACUGCGAGACCAACAAGUCGAGCAGGGACGAAAGUCGGGCUUAGUGAUCCGGUGGUUCCGCAUGGAAGGGCCAUCGCUCAACGGAUAAAAGCUACCCUGGGGAUAACAGGCUUAUCUCCCCCAAGAGUCCACAUCGACGGGGAGGUUUGGCACCUCGAUGUCGGCUCGUCGCAUCCUGGGGCUGUAGUCGGUCCCAAGGGUUGGGCUGUUCGCCCAUUAAAGCGGCACGCGAGCUGGGUUCAGAACGUCGUGAGACAGUUCGGUCCCUAUCCGUCGCGGGCGUUGGAAAUUUGAGAGGAGCUGUCCUUAGUACGAGAGGACCGGGAUGGACUUACCGCUGGUGUACCAGUUGUUCUGCCAAGGGCAUUGCUGGGUAGCUAUGUAGGGAAGGGAUAAACGCUGAAAGCAUCUAAGUGUGAAGCCCACCUCAAGAUGAGAUUUCCCAUUUCUUUAAGAAAGUAAGAUCCCUGAGAGAUGAUCAGGUAGAUAGGUCAGGAGUGGAAGGCCAGUGAUGGUUGGAGCGGACUGAUACUAAUCGAUCGAGGACUUAACCAAA